RNAcentral lists this ribosomal RNA (359 nucleotides) under uncultured bacterium. RNAcentral describes it as "bacterial SSU rRNA". It matches the Rfam family "Bacterial small subunit ribosomal RNA", at positions 28 to 416 of the family's 1533-position model. The record is from RNAcentral.
GACGAACGCUUGCGGCAUGCCUAACACAUGCAAGUCGAACGAGACCUUCGGGUCUAGUGGCGCACGGGUGCGUAACGCGUGGGAAUCUGCCCUUAGGUUCGGAAUAACAGUUAGAAAUGACUGCUAAUACCGGAUAAUGACGUAAGUCCAAAGAUUUAUCGCCUAGGGAUGAGCCCGCGUAGGAUUAGCUAGUUGGUGGGUAAAAGACCUACCAAGGCGACGAUCCUUAGCUGGUCNGAGAGGAUGAUCAGCCACACUGGGACUGAGACACGGCCCAGACUCCUACGGGAGGCAGCAGUGGGAAUAUUGGACAAUGGGCGAAAGCCUGAUCCAGCAAUGCCGCGUGAGUGAUGAAGGCC